UUUGGCAGCGGUCCAAGUUCCUUGGAACAGGACGUCACAGAGGGUGAGAAUCCCGUACGUGGUCGCUAGCUAUUGCCGUGUAAAGCCCCUUCGACGAGUCGAGUUGUUUGGGAAUGCAGCUCUAAAUGGGAGGUAAAUUUCUUCUAAAGCUAAAUAUUGACCAGAGACCGAUAGCGCACAAGUAGAGUGAUCGAAAGAUGAAAAGCACUUUGGAAAGAGAGUCAAACAGCACGUGAAAUUGUUGAAAGGUACGCGCUUGCAGCCAGAAUUGCUUGCAGUUGCUCAUCCGGGCUUUUGCCCGGUGCACUCUUCUGCAGGCAGGCCAGCAUCAGUUUGGGCGGUGGGAUAAAGGUCUCUGUCAUGUACCUCUCUUCGGGGAGGCCUUAUAGGGGAGGCGACAUACCA
RNAcentral lists this ribosomal RNA (405 nucleotides) under Exserohilum oryzicola. RNAcentral's name for it is "partial large subunit ribosomal RNA". It matches the Rfam family "Eukaryotic large subunit ribosomal RNA", at positions 169 to 578 of the family's 3401-position model. The record is from RNAcentral. Lineage: Eukaryota; Fungi; Ascomycota; Dothideomycetes; Pleosporales; Pleosporaceae.